UUACAUUUUCAGUUUUAAAAGAACACUUCUUCCCCAUUCCCCAGCUCAGGCCUAUGACAAGGGAGAAUCCAGCAGUUGAUGAAGGAGAGAAAGCUGCUCCUUUUUCCCCACUGAUGGCUUCUCCUCCUCUCCCCAUCUUGCUAGCCACUAAGGUUGGAAGAGGAAGAGGAGAGAUGGGAAGGGAAGCAGGGAUGUUCUUCCUUGCCAGGUACCCGGAUAACUUAGUAUCUGAGUUUUCUAGGCUCGGCAUGUAUUUACAGCUGACUGGUUAUAUAUGAUUUUCUUUUUCUUGGGGGUGGGGGCAGGUGGGUGGGUAAAUUGUUAGAGACACCCCCACUCUCUAUCACAGGGCAUCUUUCCUAUGUAAUUCUCUCCAGGGGGGAGAAUGAAUCUCUAGGUUCUAGUUGGUGGCUUACCCCACAUUCAUCCAUUGAAGGUACCUCUAUCUUCUUUCCUACUGAGUGUUUGUUCUUCCAGGGACCUCUUAAACUCGACCUAAGUCAGCACCCAUGAGACUUCUCAAUGCAGGCGGUCUUUUGGACUCCACCAUCAGAACACCCAACCUGUCUCCCUGACUUAGCUGUGAGUGAGAAACUAGACCAUAAUGUCCCCAUAAGCAACAGUCUCCACACAUUAGACUCUUGAAGUGGUAUGGUUGAGAUCCUUUCCCAACUAUGCUUGAAAAGCACAGGCCUCUCCUACCCUGCCUCUAUGGUGGUAGGGGUGGAUUCAUUCAUAGCACACCAACAUUUUUCUUUAAAAAUACUUUCCAACCGAUUUCCAAUGUAUAUACUCUUAUCAAAGGUGAAAUACUUAAGAAUUGUAAAACUGAUUUCCCCCCACCUCAUCCUAUCCCACACAGAUUCAUAUUAAAUAUAUAUAAUACACAUGCAUAUAUAUGUAUAUAUAUUUAAAUCCUGUAUGGUGUUCUGGCAUUCAUUUUGGACUGUGAUAUUUUCACUAUCUUCAGUCUUAGGCAAAACUUCCACGUUAAUAUCUGAUACUGAUGUUCAUAAGAAUGUUCUAGUUCUGCCCUAAGACUUCAGAGAAUGCACAUAUAUGUCAGGUAUUUGAUCUGUAAAAAUUAUAGAUCCUCAGUAUAACCGAAAAGUAAUACAAAUGUGAGUGCUGGUCAAUUCAAAAUGUAAAAGAAAUUAAAAGAAAAGUAAUGCCUACUAACUACCAUGGUUCUGCUAUUGUCAUAUUAAGCAAGACGGUAUCAAAGAAAAUAUGCUGAGAACAUAUGAACUGCAGAAAUUAUAUACUUUUAUCAAAUAGCCAUGGUUUUCAUGCCUGUUCAUUUUCUUAACACUGUAUUUCCUGCUUCUUCAGAGACUACCUAGUCAAUUACAUGGUCUUCCUUUCACACUUACAUCAAGGCCAGGAGUAAACUGCUCUAAGCACAAUGCAACAGCCUGUUUCUUUUGAAGCAAAUAAAAUGGGACCAUGGUUUUUAAUCUUUUUUUUUUUUUAAUUUUGCCAGAAAAGUGACAGGAUAAGAAUUAGGCUAAAGAGAGAAGCAUGAAGAAAUCUUUUCUUCCAGAAGGCUGAACAGCACUACAUUAACAAUACACUUCCUGAUGGCUGAAUCAAGUCUGAGAUUAUACCUCUCCCUCUGUUCCCAUCUCUCUAUGGCUAUUGAACUAUGGAAGCACUCCAUUUACAGGCAGAGAACUCUGCAUUUGAGCUGGGCAGACGAAGAAACUAAACUGAGAACAGCCAAAUUACUUGCUCCUGUUUAAACAGCUAUUUUGCAGCAGAGCAGAGAAUCAGCGCAACUACCAUUUAUGGAAGGCCAACUGCAGACCAGAGAUGCUGUUCUACAGUGUCAGAAAAGCAUUUUAAGGUAAAGGUAACCUUCUGGUUUCAGUUGCCCAUUUGGAUCAACCAUCAGACCUAGUCUGAUGAGACUAGGCAGAAAAGGCAGAAAACAGAAUGUAGGAAAGAAUGAGCCAGGAUCUUGUGGACCAAGCCGAAGCCUGAAUCUUCCUCGCCAGAAAAACCCCAGCAACCAAUUACCCUGGACGUGACGCCAAGGCCCACCUAGUGGUCAGCCAUCUGCCUAGGCAGACAAUAAAGCUCAAUUUUUCUCCUUCUCCA
This is a long non-coding RNA of Sapajus apella (tufted capuchin), 2100 nucleotides long. RefSeq lists it as uncharacterized. The transcript has 4 exons. NCBI's taxonomy places the organism in Eukaryota, Metazoa, Chordata, Mammalia, Primates, Cebidae. The record is from RefSeq and is a predicted model, not a curated record.